This 68-nucleotide transfer RNA is filed under the name Laxta sp. BLA048. RNAcentral describes it as "tRNA-Ser". The record is from RNAcentral. Lineage: Eukaryota; Metazoa; Arthropoda; Insecta; Blattodea; Blaberidae.
AGCUAACUCUUAGAUAAGAUAAAUGUUUUGAAAGCAUUUUAAAAGAGGUUAAACUCCUCUAUUAGCUU